This is a long non-coding RNA of Daphnia pulicaria, 1250 nucleotides long. RefSeq lists it as uncharacterized. The record is from RefSeq and is a predicted model, not a curated record. The transcript is spliced from 5 exons. NCBI's taxonomy places the organism in Eukaryota, Metazoa, Arthropoda, Branchiopoda, Diplostraca, Daphniidae.
CACAAUUUCAAUUUUCGAAAUAAAUGUAGUCGUCUCGUGUCAACUCUCUUUAUGGAAUCGCUUCACACACACUCGGUGCUGUUUAGCAGGGCCAGCCCAGACAUCAUAACCACAAGAUAUGCCAGUUUUCCUUGUGCCUGUCGUCAGCAACAAAUUCACCGCUUGGGUAAUGUCAUGCAGUACUUAAUGGAUUAAACAGGAUCCCUCUUGAUUUGGAGAAACUAUAGCGAUGAGACGGUCGAGUUCUUCUCUUGAAAUCCCCUCUGCCCUCGUGUAUGCCCAUGUGUUUGUGGGUGUAUUCACGAGGACGUCCAUUUCCCUACCUUGUCUGGUGGGUUCAACUUUUCAGCGGAUGGAUGGAGCAGCACUUGUGGAUGCCUGGCCGUAUAUUUCCCAGGCUUAAAGACUCUGAAAUCUUUGGACUACGUACUCAGGACUACUCACAUAGGAGCAAUAACUGGUUGGUGGUCUUUCCUCACUUGUUGCGCUAUAUAAAUGGUAAUUUCUGCUUGCAUUCUUUAAUAUUAUUUAAUUGUUUUGUGUGGUGUGUGGAAUGUGCCAUCACAGUAACAAAGGUAACAACCAAAACUAGCUUUAUCAAAGUAAUUUUGCUGAAACUUAUUCUGUUCAUCCUUUAUAGGUAUUCAUCUCUCAUUCCAUCUUCUAGAGAACCUAGGAUAACCAGUGGUUGUUGAAGUUUGUUAACUUUUUUUUUUUUCUAAAGGUGGGGUUAGAAUAUUUUUCUCAAGGUUGGGGGUUGGGGCAUUGGUCGGGGUUGAAAUUUUCUUAUGGCGACGUUUUGAAGUAAUAGCCAAUGGAACGAAGGUGGUAAAUUUUUAAUUUUUUUUUCUACGUUUUAUCAAUGUUACGACUACAAGUUGUUGUUGAAGGUUGUUUUUUUGUUAAAAGUUAAAACUUAAAAGGUCGGGUUAGAAUUUUGAUCAAAAGGUUGGGGCAUGGGUUAGGGUUAGAAUUUUUGUCAAAAGAUGGGGUUAAAAUUCGUCCACCGGAGGGGUUUGGUGUUUCAGUCAGUUACCUAAGUCAACAGUCAAUUCAGGUGCAGCCUGUAGAACUAGGGCGUUGCACGGUCUGCGUGUUAGUCAUGUCAGCGAACUUCAAAGUUUUGCAUCGUGAAGAUAAAAGACCCACUCCCAGUGAGUCGUCUGACCGUUCUGCUGACCAUGUGUCCUGAAAGUGCUGGCCGUAUGCAGAAAUGUCGUCUCGUACUAGAUAGUAGAAACUUCAAUGGA